AUCCGGAGGGGGCUAGCGUUGUUCGGAAUUACUGGGCGUAAAGGGCGGGCAGGCCGUCCGUUAAGUCGUUUGUGAAAAUCCGGGGCUCAACCCCGCGAAAUGCAGACGAUACUGGCGGACUAGAGACCGGUAGAGGCUAGCGGAAUUCCUGGUGUAGCGGUGGAAUGCGUAGAUAUCAGGAAGAACACCUGUGGCGAAGGCGGCUAGCUGGGCCGGGUCUGACGCUGAACCGCGAAAGCGUGGGGAGCAAACAGGAUUAGAAACCCCUGUAGUCC
Molecule: ribosomal RNA, 275 nt
Filed under: uncultured bacterium
Lineage: Bacteria
Description: partial 16S ribosomal RNA
Rfam family: Bacterial small subunit ribosomal RNA
Source: RNAcentral